This 1247-nucleotide ribosomal RNA is filed under the name Chryseobacterium sp. RNAcentral describes it as "bacterial SSU rRNA". It matches the Rfam family "Bacterial small subunit ribosomal RNA", at positions 60 to 1316 of the family's 1533-position model. Lineage: Bacteria; Pseudomonadati; Bacteroidota; Flavobacteriia; Flavobacteriales; Weeksellaceae. The record is from RNAcentral.
AGCCGAGCGGUAGAGAUUCUUCGGAAUCUUGAGAGCGGCGUACGGGUGCGGAACACGUGUGCAACCUACCUUUAUCAGGGGGAUAGCCUUUCGAAAGGAAGAUUAAUACCCCAUAAUAUAUUGAAUGGCAUCAUUUAAUAUUGAAAACUCCGGUGGAUAGAGAUGGGCACGCGCAAGAUUAGAUAGUUGGUAGGGUAACGGCCUACCAAGUCAAUGAUCUUUAGGGGGCCUGAGAGGGUGAUCCCCCACACUGGUACUGAGACACGGACCAGACUCCUACGGGAGGCAGCAGUGAGGAAUAUUGGACAAUGGGUGAGAGCCUGAUCCAGCCAUCCCGCGUGAAGGACGACGGCCCUAUGGGUUGUAAACUUCUUUUGUAUAGGGAUAAACCUACUCUCGUGAGAGUAGCUGAAGGUACUAUACGAAUAAGCACCGGCUAACUCCGUGCCAGCAGCCGCGGUAAUACGGAGGGUGCAAGCGUUAUCCGGAUUUAUUGGGUUUAAAGGGUCCGUAGGCGGAUCUGUAAGUCAGUGGUGAAAUCUCAUAGCUUAACUAUGAAACUGCCAUUGAUACUGCAGGUCUUGAGUAAAGUAGAAGUGGCUGGAAUAAGUAGUGUAGCGGUGAAAUGCAUAGAUAUUACUUAGAACACCAAUUGCGAAGGCAGGUCACUAUGUUUUAACUGACGCUGAUGGACGAAAGCGUGGGGAGCGAACAGGAUUAGAUACCCUGGUAGUCCACGCCGUAAACGAUGCUAACUCGUUUUUGGGUUUUCGGAUUCAGAGACUAAGCGAAAGUGAUAAGUUAGCCACCUGGGGAGUACGUUCGCAAGAAUGAAACUCAAAGGAAUUGACGGGGGCCCGCACAAGCGGUGGAUUAUGUGGUUUAAUUCGAUGAUACGCGAGGAACCUUACCAAGGCUUAAAUGGGAAUUGACAGGUUUAGAAAUAGACUUUUCUUCGGACAAUUUUCAAGGUGCUGCAUGGUUGUCGUCAGCUCGUGCCGUGAGGUGUUAGGUUAAGUCCUGCAACGAGCGCAACCCCUGUCACUAGUUGCCAUCAUUCAGUUGGGGACUCUAGUGAGACUGCCUACGCAAGUAGAGAGGAAGGUGGGGAUGACGUCAAAUCAUCACGGCCCUUACGCCUUGGGCCACACACGUAAUACAAUGGCCAGUACAGAGGGCAGCUACCAGGCGACUGGAUGCGAAUCUCGAAAGCUGGUCUCAGUUCGGAUUGGAGUCUGCAACUCGAC